AGUCACACCCUGUUUGUAGAAUACAUUUGUACCUCAUUCAGGCUAUAAUGGAAAGUUGGAAUAAGAAACUAACUACAGCUGCUAGGGAUGGAGAUAUAGAAGCCUUAAAAUUAAGCCUACAGAAUGGUGCAGACAUUGAUUAUCUAAAUGUAAGU
Molecule: long non-coding RNA, 155 nt
Organism: Mytilus trossulus (common blue mussel)
Lineage: Eukaryota; Metazoa; Mollusca; Bivalvia; Mytilida; Mytilidae
Exons: 3
Source: RefSeq, a predicted model, not a curated record